This is a small nucleolar RNA of Pelodiscus sinensis (Chinese soft-shelled turtle), 92 nucleotides long. Ensembl annotates it as small nucleolar SNORD12/SNORD106. The record is from Ensembl. NCBI's taxonomy places the organism in Eukaryota, Metazoa, Chordata, Testudines, Trionychidae.
ACUGGUGCACGUGAUGACUAAACCUUUUUUCCCCAUCAGAGCGACAGUGUUGAUUUUGCUGUUCUAAGCCAGAUCGUGUCUGACGCACCAGU